Molecule: ribosomal RNA, 524 nt
Filed under: uncultured bacterium
Lineage: Bacteria
Description: partial 16S ribosomal RNA
Rfam family: Bacterial small subunit ribosomal RNA
Source: RNAcentral
GACGAACGCUGGCGGCGUGCCUAAUACAUGCAAGUCGAGCGCAGGAAGCUGACGGAACUCUUCGGAGGGAAGGCAGUGGAAUGAGCGGCGGACGGGUGAGUAACACGUAAGGAACCUGCCUCAAGGAUGGGGAUAACUCCGAGAAAUCGGAGCUAAUACCGGAUAGUUCAUCGGACCGCAUGGUCCGUUGAUGAAAGGCGCUUCGGCGUCACCUUGAGAUGGCCUUGCGGUGCAUUAGCUAGUUGGUGGGGUAACGGCCCACCAAGGCGACGAUGCAUAGCCGACCUGAGAGGGUGAUCGGCCACACGGGGACUGAGACACGGCCCAGACUCAUACGGGAGGCAGCAGUAGGGAAUCUUCCACAAUGGACGAAAGUCUGAUGGAGCAACGCCGCGUGAGUGAUGAAGGUUUUCGGAUCGUAAAACUCUGUUGUAAGGGAAGAACUCGUACGAGAGGGAAUGCUCGUACCUUGACGGUACCUUACGAGAAAGCCACGGCUAACUACGUGCCAGCAGCCGCCGUAA